Molecule: long non-coding RNA, 898 nt
Organism: Polyodon spathula (Mississippi paddlefish)
Lineage: Eukaryota; Metazoa; Chordata; Actinopteri; Acipenseriformes; Polyodontidae
Exons: 3
Source: RefSeq, a predicted model, not a curated record
GUGUUAUGACAGGGCGGCUCAACAGACACGCGCAUUAUUCGUUCCUACUGUACAGUAAUCAAAUGAUUCAUCACAUCAUUUAAUAUGGCUCGUGAUGGCGCAACGACAGAGAAGUAGUCCGGGAUAUUUUAAGUUGGUGAAUGCUUUAUGUUUGGAGCAGUGCGACUAUGCUUGAGAAGACAUCACAGCAACGGUAAACACUAGACCUAUUUACAAGUGUGAUGGACGGACAUGACCAGCACAUAAGGGAGCCCAUGUUUUCAUGAGGACCCUCAUCAAUCGAGCACAACCACACCGGGCUAGGCUCACCUCCACUACUCCUGUGCGAGUAUUUCCAGGAGAUGUCAGCAUUGGAUUAUUUUAACUUAAUCCCACUUCUCCCAGAUGUAUGUAUCUAUGUAAAUGCUACAAAAUAAAUAUGCUAGAUUCUGACCAGUAGAGGUCUCUGUUUUUCAUUAGUCACACCAGCAGUGAGAUUGGAUUGAAUAAUUACAUGAAUGGUUUAUAGGUUCAUUGCGUGAUUGUAACUUGUUAACACAUUUUCUACAUCUGGAUAAAAGUGCCCUGAGUGAUAACCUUGUGUGGGUUGUGUAGGAGAGCUUUGAAAGCAAACAAGUAGGAGAAGAGAACUAGUAAAGAAUUCAAACUUAAAGUAUAACAUCAAGUCCGGGUCCGUGUGUAGAGGACGGCUUGGAGAAAGGCAGUUCUGUGUGGUUAGAUACAUGCAAUGCAGUCUGAUACAGGGUAAAUUCUGAUUGCUUUGUUUGGUUGGUUUUGUGUCAGGGAAGCGUCUCAGCUGUCCUGACUUUAGACAAGGGAAAGGAAACAGUAAAGUUAGUAUUCCAAAACGAAGUUAGGAUUUUUGUUGUUUAUUUUUUUUUUAUUGUUCUGUACCUGU